UGCUUAUCAGCUGCCAGCCCUGU
This 23-nucleotide microRNA is filed under the name Ascaris suum (pig roundworm). RNAcentral's name for it is "asu-miR-184-5p". Its record names the gene asu-miR-184-5p. Lineage: Eukaryota; Metazoa; Nematoda; Chromadorea; Rhabditida; Ascarididae. The record is from miRBase by way of RNAcentral.